CCUCCGGUGAUGAAAGAAAUUAUGACUUUCGUUCUUCUGAAAGCCAUGAUGUAAUGUUUUGUUUAAACUGAGGAGG
Molecule: small nucleolar RNA, 76 nt
Organism: Petromyzon marinus (sea lamprey)
Lineage: Eukaryota; Metazoa; Chordata; Hyperoartia; Petromyzontiformes; Petromyzontidae
Product: small nucleolar RNA SNORD59
Source: RefSeq, a predicted model, not a curated record